CCCCCGAUAGCUCGGUCAGUAGAGCAUGAGACUCUUAAUCUUAGGGUUGUGGGUUCAAGCCCCACGUUGGGCA
This 73-nucleotide transfer RNA is filed under the name Mesocricetus auratus (golden hamster). It matches the Rfam family "tRNA". From Rfam's summary of the family: Transfer RNA (tRNA) molecules are approximately 80 nucleotides in length. Their secondary structure includes four short double-helical elements and three loops (D, anti-codon, and T loops). Lineage: Eukaryota; Metazoa; Chordata; Mammalia; Rodentia; Cricetidae. The record is from Rfam by way of RNAcentral.